Molecule: non-coding RNA, 28 nt
Filed under: Cricetulus griseus (Chinese hamster)
Lineage: Eukaryota; Metazoa; Chordata; Mammalia; Rodentia; Cricetidae
Source: RNAcentral
GCCCUAGUCGGCUGCUGCGAGCUGGAAC